RNAcentral lists this ribosomal RNA (252 nucleotides) under uncultured bacterium. Its description in RNAcentral is "partial 16S ribosomal RNA". It matches the Rfam family "Bacterial small subunit ribosomal RNA", at positions 524 to 776 of the family's 1533-position model. The record is from RNAcentral.
UACGGAGGAUGCGAGCGUUAUCCGGAUUUAUUGGGUUUAAAGGGUGCGUAGGCGGGCUUUUAAGUCAGCGGUAAAAAUUCGGGGCUCAACCCCGUCUGGCCGUUGAAACUGGGGGUCUUGAGUGGGCGAGAAGAAGGCGGAAUGCGUGGUGUAGCGGUGAAAUGCAUAGAUAUCACGCAGAACCCCGAUUGCGAAGGCAGCCUUCCGGCGCCCUACUGACGCUGAGGCACGAAAGUGCGGGGAUCGAACAGG